AAAUUGAAGAGUUUGAUCAUGGCUCAGAUUGAACGCUGGCGGCAGGCCUAACACAUGCAAGUCGAACGGUAACAGGAAGCAGCUUGCUGUUUCGCUGACGAGUGGCGGACGGGUGAGUAAUGUCUGGGAAACUGCCUGAUGGAGGGGGAUAACUACUGGAAACGGUAGCUAAUACCGCAUAACGUCGCAAGACCAAAGAGGGGGACCUUCGGGCCUCUUGCCAUCGGAUGUGCCCAGAUGGGAUUAGCUUGUUGGUGGGGUAACGGCUCACCAAGGCGACGAUCCCUAGCUGGUCUGAGAGGAUGACCAGCCACACUGGAACUGAGACACGGUCCAGACUCCUACGGGAGGCAGCAGUGGGGAAUAUUGCACAAUGGGCGCAAGCCUGAUGCAGCCAUGCCGCGUGUAUGAAGAAGGCCUUCGGGUUGUAAAGUACUUUCAGCGGGGAGGAAGGGAGUAAAGUUAAUACCUUUACUCAUUGACGUUACCCGCAGAAGAAGCACCGGCUAACUCCGUGCCAGCAGCCGCGGUAAUACGGAGGGUGCAAGCGUUAAUCGGAAUUACUGGGCGUAAAGCGCACGCAGGCGGUUUGUUAAGUCAGAUGUGAAAUCCCCGGGCUCAACCUGGGAACUGCAUCUGAUACUGGCAAGCUUGAGUCUCGUAGAGGGGGGUAGAAUUCCAGGUGUAGCGGUGAAAUGCGUAGAGAUCUGGAGGAAUACCGGUGGCGAAGGCGGCCCCCUGGACGAAGACUGACGCUCAGGUGCGAAAGCGUGGGGAGCAAACAGGAUUAGAUACCCUGGUAGUCCACGCCGUAAACGAUGUCGACUUGGAGGUUGUGCCCUUGAGGCGUGGCUUCCGGAGCUAACGCGUUAAGUCGACCGCCUGGGGAGUACGGCCGCAAGGUUAAAACUCAAAUGAAUUGACGGGGGCCCGCACAAGCGGUGGAGCAUGUGGUUUAAUUCGAUGCAACGCGAAGAACCUUACCUGGUCUUGACAUCCACAGAACUUUCCAGAGAUGGAUUGGUGCCUUCGGGAACUGUGAGACAGGUGCUGCAUGGCUGUCGUCAGCUCGUGUUGUGAAAUGUUGGGUUAAGUCCCGCAACGAGCGCAACCCUUAUCCUUUGUUGCCAGCGGUCCGGCCGGGAACUCAAAGGAGACUGCCAGUGAUAAACUGGAGGAAGGUGGGGAUGACGUCAAGUCAUCAUGGCCCUUACGACCAGGGCUACACACGUGCUACAAUGGCGCAUACAAAGAGAAGCGACCUCGCGAGAGCAAGCGGAUCUCAUAAAGUGCGUCGUAGUCCGGAUUGGAGUCUGCAACUCGACUCCAUGAAGUCGGAAUCGCUAGUAAUCGUGGAUCAGAAUGCCACGGUGAAUACGUUCCCGGGCCUUGUACACACCGCCCGUCACACCAUGGGAGUGGGUUGCAAAAGAAGUAGGUAGCUUAACCUUCGGGAGGGCGCUUACCACUUUGUGAUUCAUGACUGGGGUGAAGUCGUAACAAGGUAACCGUAGGGGAACCUGCGGUUGGAUCACCUCCUUACCUUAAAGAAGC
RNAcentral lists this ribosomal RNA (1554 nucleotides) under Escherichia coli. RNAcentral describes it as "bacterial SSU rRNA". It matches the Rfam family "Bacterial small subunit ribosomal RNA". Lineage: Bacteria; Pseudomonadati; Pseudomonadota; Gammaproteobacteria; Enterobacterales; Enterobacteriaceae. The record is from RNAcentral.